This 200-nucleotide ribosomal RNA is filed under the name uncultured bacterium. RNAcentral describes it as "partial 16S ribosomal RNA". It matches the Rfam family "Bacterial small subunit ribosomal RNA", at positions 328 to 539 of the family's 1533-position model. The record is from RNAcentral.
ACGCUCGACACCUACGGGAGGAGCAGUGGGGAAUAUUGCACAAUGGGGGAAACCCUGAUGCAGCGACGCCGCGUGGAGGAAGAAGGUCUUCGGAUUGUAAACUCCUGUUGUUGGGGAAAAAGAGGAUGGUACCCAACAAGGAAGUGACGGCUAACUACGUGCCAGCAGCCGUAGGUAAUCUGAGGCGGGCUGGACAAGGC